GACGAACGCUGGCGGCGCGCUUAACACAUGCAAGUCGAACGGAAAGGCCUGCUUUCCCUUGUGGAUUGCGGGUACUCGAGUGGCGAACGGGUGAGUAACACGUGAGUGAUCUGCCCCCAACUUGGGUAUAAGCCUGGGAAACUGGGUCUAAUUCCCGAUAGGACUGCAGGGUGGUGCCUGUGGUGGAAAACGAUUUUCUAGUGGUUGGGGAUGAGCUCGCGGCCUAUCAGCUUGUUGGUGGGGUAAUGGCCUACCAAGGCGGCGACGGGUAGCCGGCCUGGGAGGGUGGACGGCCACAUUGGGACUGGGAUACGGCCCAGACUCCGACGGGAGGAAGCAGUGGGGAAUAUUGCACAAUGGGCGGAAGCCUGAUGCAGCGACGCCGCGUGGGGGAUGACGGCCUUCGGGUUGUAAACUCCUUUCGACCGCGAGGAAGCCACCUGGUUGGAAGGGUGGUGACGGUAGUGGUAGAAGAAGCACCGGCUAACUACGUG
Molecule: ribosomal RNA, 494 nt
Filed under: uncultured bacterium
Lineage: Bacteria
Description: partial 16S ribosomal RNA
Rfam family: Bacterial small subunit ribosomal RNA
Source: RNAcentral